Molecule: ribosomal RNA, 397 nt
Filed under: uncultured bacterium
Lineage: Bacteria
Description: partial 16S ribosomal RNA
Rfam family: Bacterial small subunit ribosomal RNA
Source: RNAcentral
AUACGUAGGUGGCAAGCGUUGUCCGGAAUUAUUGGGCGUAAAGCGCGCGCAGGCGGUCCUUUAAGUCUGAUGUGAAAGCCCACGGCUCAACCGUGGAGGGUCAUUGGAAACUGGGGGACUUGAGUGCAGAAGAGGAAAGUGGAAUUCCAAGUGUAGCGGUGAAAUGCGUAGAGAUUUGGAGGAACACCAGUGGCGAAGGCGACUGUCUGGUCUGUAACUGACACUGAGGCGCGAAAGCGUGGGGAGCAAACAGGAUUAGAUACCCUGGUAGUCCACGCCGUAAACGAUGAGUGCUAAGUGUUGGGGGGUUUCCGCCCCUCAGUGCUGCAGCUAACGCAUUAAGCACUCCGCCUGGGGAGUACGGUCGCAAGACUGAAACUCAAAUGAAUUGGCGGGG